This 69-nucleotide transfer RNA is filed under the name Rattus norvegicus (Norway rat). It matches the Rfam family "tRNA". From Rfam's summary of the family: Transfer RNA (tRNA) molecules are approximately 80 nucleotides in length. Their secondary structure includes four short double-helical elements and three loops (D, anti-codon, and T loops). The record is from Rfam by way of RNAcentral. Lineage: Eukaryota; Metazoa; Chordata; Mammalia; Rodentia; Muridae.
GGGGAUUUAGCUCCGUGGUAGAGCACUUGCCUAGCAAGCGCAAGGCCCUGGGUUCGAUCCCCAGCUCCG